This is a long non-coding RNA of Hevea brasiliensis (rubber tree), 324 nucleotides long. RefSeq lists it as uncharacterized. The record is from RefSeq and is a predicted model, not a curated record. NCBI's taxonomy places the organism in Eukaryota, Viridiplantae, Streptophyta, Magnoliopsida, Malpighiales, Euphorbiaceae. The transcript has 2 exons.
GGUGAGUCGGGACAGCCUUCUUCCUCCGCCCAGCCGCCACAGUGAUUGUGGUCAAGUCUGCUACAGGAGGAUUUUAUUUUGGUUAACCUGCUUUUCUCCUUCGCAGGUUGUUUAUCGAUAUUUGUGUAAUUUUAUUUACUCCUAGAAUUUUCGCAUGUGUUAGAAGUAUUUAUUUGAUUAUGGUCUGUAAUAUUAUUAUCAUGUUGGACCUGUAAACGUAUAAUGAUAUGCAUGUUUGAUGGAUUGGAUGAGGGAGCUGAGCUCCCAUUUAUUUUUAUGAGGAUAUGAGUAUGUGGAGGGUGAGCUGAGCUCCCCAAUUGAGUA